This 482-nucleotide ribosomal RNA is filed under the name uncultured bacterium. Its description in RNAcentral is "bacterial SSU rRNA". It matches the Rfam family "Bacterial small subunit ribosomal RNA", at positions 355 to 853 of the family's 1533-position model. The record is from RNAcentral.
UGGGGAAUCUUGGACAAUGGGGGCAACCCUGAUCCAGCCAUGCCGCGUGAGUGAUGAAGGCCUUAGGGUCGUAAAGCUCUUCGCCUGUGAAGAUAAUGACGGUAGCAGGUAAAGAAACCCCGGCUAACUCCGUGCCAGCAGCCGCGGUAAUACGGAGGGGGUUAGCGUUGUUCGGAAUUACUGGGCGUAAAGCGCACGUAGGCGGACCAGAAAGUUGGGGGUGAAAUCCCGGGGGCUCAACCCCGGAACUGCCUCCAAAACUAUUGGUCUAGAGUUCGAGAGAGGUGAGUGGAAUUCCAAGUGUAGAGGUGAAAUUCGUAGAUAUUUGGAGGAACACCAGUGGCGAAGGCGGCUCACUGGCUCGAUACUGACGCUGAGGUGCGAAAGUGUGGGGAGCAAACAGGAUUAGAUACCCUGGGUAGUCCACACCGUAAAACGAUGAAUGCCAGUCGUCGGGUAGCAUGCUAUUCGGUGACACACCU